Molecule: transfer RNA, 76 nt
Filed under: bacterium
Lineage: Bacteria
Description: tRNA-Ser
Rfam family: tRNA
About the family: Transfer RNA (tRNA) molecules are approximately 80 nucleotides in length. Their secondary structure includes four short double-helical elements and three loops (D, anti-codon, and T loops).
Source: RNAcentral
GUGACGGUAGUGCAGCGGUUAGCGCGCCCGGGUUGGAACCCAGGAGACGGGAGUUCGAAUCUCCUCUGUCACCCCA